This 81-nucleotide transfer RNA is filed under the name Trametes coccinea BRFM310. RNAcentral describes it as "Trametes coccinea (strain BRFM310) tRNA". It matches the Rfam family "tRNA". From Rfam's summary of the family: Transfer RNA (tRNA) molecules are approximately 80 nucleotides in length. The record is from Rfam by way of RNAcentral. Lineage: Eukaryota; Fungi; Basidiomycota; Agaricomycetes; Polyporales; Polyporaceae.
GGCGCUAUAGUGUAGUGGUUAUCACUUGGGAUUCUGACCGCCAGUGUUCCCAAAACCCAGGUUCGAGCCCUGGUAGCGCCU